GAUGAACGCUGGCGGCGUGCCUAAUACAUGCAAGUCGAGCGAACAGACGAGGAGCUUGCUCCUCUGACGUUAGCGGCGGACGGGUGAGUAACACGUGGAUAACCUACCUAUAAGUCUGGGAGAACUUCGGGAAACCGGAGCUAAUACCGGAUAAUAUAUUGAACCGCAUGGAUCAAUAGUGAAAGACGGUUUUGCUGUCACUUAUAGAUGGAUCCGCGCCGCAUUAGCUAGUUGGUAAGGUAACGGCUUACCAAGGCGACGAUGCGUAGCCGACCUGAGAGGGUGAUCGGCCACACUGGAACUGAGACACGGUCCAGACUCCUACGGGAGGCAGCAGUAGGGAAUCUUCCGCAAUGGGCGAAAGCCUGACGGAGCAACGCCGCGUGAGUGAUGAAGGUCUUCGGAUCGUAAAACUCUGUUAUUAGGGAAGAACAAAUGUGUAAGUAACUAUGCACGUCUUGACGGUACCUAAUCAGAAAGCCACGGCUAACUACGUG
Molecule: ribosomal RNA, 497 nt
Filed under: uncultured bacterium
Lineage: Bacteria
Description: partial 16S ribosomal RNA
Rfam family: Bacterial small subunit ribosomal RNA
Source: RNAcentral